AUCUGUAUGGAGUUGUGGUUAGUGCGCUCGGCUAUAGACCCGGGUGACGCGGGUUCGAUUCCCCCUACCAGAUG
This 74-nucleotide transfer RNA is filed under the name Dallia pectoralis (Alaska blackfish). RNAcentral's name for it is "tRNA-OTHER". Lineage: Eukaryota; Metazoa; Chordata; Actinopteri; Esociformes; Umbridae. The record is from RNAcentral.